UGCGUAGGUGGUUAUUUAAGUCCGUUGUGAAAGCCCUGGGCUCAACCUGGGAACUGCAGUGGAUACUGGAUGACUAGAAUGUGGUAGAGGGUAGCGGAAUUCCUGGUGUAGCAGUGAAAUGCGUAGAGACCAGGAGGAACAUCCAUGGCGAAGGCAGCUACCUGGACCAACAUUGACACUGAGGCACGAAAGCGUGGGAGCAAACA
This 206-nucleotide ribosomal RNA is filed under the name uncultured bacterium. RNAcentral's name for it is "partial 16S ribosomal RNA". It matches the Rfam family "Bacterial small subunit ribosomal RNA", at positions 568 to 774 of the family's 1533-position model. The record is from RNAcentral.